RNAcentral lists this ribosomal RNA (497 nucleotides) under uncultured bacterium. RNAcentral describes it as "partial 16S ribosomal RNA". It matches the Rfam family "Bacterial small subunit ribosomal RNA", at positions 28 to 507 of the family's 1533-position model. The record is from RNAcentral.
GAUGAACGCUGGCGGCGUGCCUAAUACAUGCCAGUCGAGCGAACGGACGAGAAGCUUGCUUUUCUGAUGUUAGCGGCGGACGGGUGAGUAACACGUGGAUAACCUACCUAUAAGACUGGGAUAACUUCGGGAAACCGGAGCUAAUACCGGAUAAUAUUUUGAACCGCAUGGUUCAAAAGUGAAAGACGGUCUUGCUGUCACUUAUAGAUGGAUCCGCGCUGCAUUAGCUAGUUGGUAAGGUAACGGCUUACCAAGGCAACGAUGCAUAGCCGACCUGAGAGGGUGAUCGGCCACACUGGAACUGAGACACGGUCCAGACUCCUACGGGAGGCAGCAGUAGGGAAUCUUCCGCAAUGGGCGAAAGCCUGACGGAGCAACGCCGCGUGAGUGAUGAAGGUCUUCGGAUCGUAAAACUCUGUUAUUAGGGAAGAACAUAUGCGUAAGUAACUGUGCACAUCUUGACGGUACCUAAUCAGAAAGCCACGGCUAACUACGUG